GAUGAACGAUGGCGGCGUGCCUAAUACAUGCAAGUCGAGCGAACGGACGGGAAGCUUGCUUCUCUGAUGUUAGCGGCGGACGGGUGAGUAACACGUGGAUAACCUACCUAUAAGACUGGGAUAACUUCGGGAAACCGGAGCUAAUACCGGAUAAUAUUUUGAACCGCAUGGUUCAAAAGUGAAAGACGGUCUUGCUGUCACUUAUAGAUGGAUCCGCGCUGCAUUAGCUAGUUGGUAAGGUAACGGCUUACCAAGGCAACGAUGCAUAGCCGACCUGAGAGGGUGAUCGGCCACACUGGAACUGAGACACGGUCCAGACUCCUACGGGAGGCAGCAGUAGGGAAUCUUCCGCAAUGGGCGAAAGCCUGACGGAGCAACGCCGCGUGAGUGAUGAAGGUCUUCGGAUCGUAAAACUCUGUUAUUAGGGAAGAACAUAUGUGUAAGUAACUGUGCACAUCUUGACGGUACCUAAUCAGAAAGCCACGGCUAACUACGUG
This 497-nucleotide ribosomal RNA is filed under the name uncultured bacterium. Its description in RNAcentral is "partial 16S ribosomal RNA". It matches the Rfam family "Bacterial small subunit ribosomal RNA", at positions 28 to 507 of the family's 1533-position model. The record is from RNAcentral.